UGGGGAAUCUUGCGCAAUGGGCGAAAGCCUGACGCAGCCAUGCCGCGUGAAUGAUGAAGGUCUUAGGAUUGUAAAAUUCUUUCACCGGGGACGAUAAUGACGGUACCCGGAGAAGAAGCCCCGGCUAACUUCGUGCCAGCAGCCGCGGUAAUACGAAGGGGGCUAGCGUUGCUCGGAAUUACUGGGCGUAAAGGGAGCGUAGGCGGACAUUUAAGUCAGGGGUGAAAUCCGGGGCUCAACCUCGGAAUUGCCUUUGAUACUGGGUGUCUUGAGUGUGAGAGAGGUAUGUGGAACUCCGAGUGUAGAGGUGAAAUUCGUAGAUAUUCGGAAGAACACCAGUGGCGAAGGCGACAUACUGGCUCAUUACUGACGCUGAGGCUCGAAGCGUGGGGAGCAAACAGGAUUAGAUACCCUGGUAGUCCACGCCGUAAACGAUGAUUGCUAGUUGUCGGGAUGCAUGCAUUUCGGUGACGCAGCUAACGC
This 483-nucleotide ribosomal RNA is filed under the name uncultured bacterium. RNAcentral's name for it is "partial 16S ribosomal RNA". It matches the Rfam family "Bacterial small subunit ribosomal RNA", at positions 355 to 858 of the family's 1533-position model. The record is from RNAcentral.